RNAcentral lists this long non-coding RNA (1846 nucleotides) under Pongo abelii (Sumatran orangutan). RNAcentral's name for it is "lincRNA". Lineage: Eukaryota; Metazoa; Chordata; Mammalia; Primates; Hominidae. The record is from RNAcentral.
AGGACAGGAGCUACUUCUUUGCUGAACUGCAUUGCGGUUUCAACUCUGAGGUUUUCUUCAAGCUUUGCAUUGUUCAGAAUGUGAGAGGCACGGCCGAGACACAUUUUGGGGUUCCCACUGCAUUGCUACACCUCCCCCCUCACUUCAGGGCCAGGUAACACCAAGAAGGACGCCAUGAGAGCGAAGGCCUUGGGUAACCGCCCUUUGCUCUCACGCUGCGCGUCUCCCUGCCAUGAACCGCCGCAACCGGUGCUGGGAGCGGUUGAGGGCCGCCGCCGGCGCUGGAACCUCGCCGCCUCAAGGCUCGUGCGCAGGCGCAGGGCUGGCCUGGAGCCCACCCUGGGAGAGCCCCGCUGGAGAUGGGGAAAUGGAGGAGGCGGCACCUGGGCGCUUCCUGGGGCCAGACAACGCCCCUCAUUGGAACCUCCAUGACCGUGCCUCUGAGAAACCAGCGCAUCGGCAACGACCACUCCUAAUUUUCGGAUUCCUAUCGUCUGUCUCCACGUGAUAGCAUUGAAGAGCCUUCACCUCUAUGCAGGCCCAGGGCUUCAAGUGCAGAGACUGAGAGCUCUGCAGGACACAGCAUGGAGCUGCCAUUCCUCUACUGUUCCGUGAUUGGGUGGAAGAGCAUGUGUCCUCUGAACAGGGGAUCCAAGCCCUGAGAUGUUCUUUCUCAGCAGUCAGUGUGGCCCAGGAGUUUCUGUGGGGAUGCUCAGAGAGCAGGGGCUGGAGGACUUUUAGCCACCACCUCCCAUGGCCAGUCUUCACAAAUUACCUUUGGCUAAUUUGAUUGUCUCUCCUCCUGGGGUCUAGGACUUCAAACAUGUACAGAAGCGAUUGCAGAAUUAAGACAAGACACUGUUCCACAGUAUAGUUUUUGUAUCACUGGCUCAGAAAAAGACUCAUUCAAAUCCUAUAUCAAAGCCAUGUGUGAGAAUCUUGAGAAAGCAUCGGUUGACUGACUUGACAAGGGAGGAAGCUACCAAGAAUGCUGCCCUUCUUCAGUAUCUGAGUAUGAUAUUUUGCUUCAACAUCCCUCUUAGAUGAAGUUAUUGAUUGAAAAUCAUUUAAGUUUGCCCCGUGAUAAAAGAUCAAGUCCUCAGAAAGAUCUCCAAAGCGUUUAUGGUUUGUUUGGUUUGGUUUGGUUUUGGUAGGUUUACCAUGAUUUUGCUUGAAUUGCUCUCCGUUGAUCUUCUCAGCUAAGAUCGAGGUAGAGUUGCACAGCGGAAGAGGGCUGCAUGUAAGUAGGCAGGUCUGUCUCAGAGGACAAAAGGCCUGGGAGCACCCAGACAGGCAAUCACUGCAUGGAGGUCACUCCCCUCCCAGUGGCCACUGUGGAGGCAUUUCAUAGAAAUGCUUGCUGGACCAUUCAGGUUUAGAGUUGGGACAAAACCGAGAACUCAUGGGGAUAUUGGACAGGAGUUAGGAAAUGACCUUCUCACACAACUGGCGCAAGGAGGGGAGAACCCUGGGCUUGAGACUUGCAAUCCACCACCUGCCCCUGCAGUGUGGCCCCUGUUACAUUUUUCUGCAACUCUGCCUUCUUGAGUCCAAAUGUCUUCAAAUGGGGCAAAUGCUUCAUAAGUUCCAACAGAGUGUGUUUCAGUGAAUGUUCGCAGUGUGCACCGGUCUGGCUGAAGGCCUCUUCCCUUCCCCAACACCCUCCCAUCGUGCAAAAUUACCCUGCCCAGCAGGGAGUGAUGUGUGUCAGAAAUUUUGCUGCUGUGCUCUGAGUACUCCUUAUCUCCUUUGACCAGUUUCCUAACACUCCCCUGUCACAACACAGAACAUGGGUGCUCUUUCCUGUCAUUUUGACACUAAUAAAUGGACAGUGAUUCUCAGUGUG